AGCGAACGUUUGCGGCGGGCCUAACACAUGCAAGUCGAACGGGCAGUCCCUUCGGGGGCUGUCAGUGGCGCACGGGUGCGUAACACGUAGGUAAUCAACCCUCGGGUUCGGGAUAACACUUCGAAAGGGGUGCUAAUACCGGAUGCGACGAGCGUCUCCUCGGAGAUGCACGGGAAAGAUCCGCAAGGGUCGCCCGAGGACGAGCCUGCGGCCCAUCAGCUUGUUGGUGAGGUAAUGGCUCACCAAGGCUAAGACGGGUAGCUGGUCUGAGAGGAUGAUCAGUCACACUGGAACUGAGACACGGUCCAGACUCCUACGGGAGGCAGCAGUGGGGAAGUAUUGCGCAAUAGGGCGGAAAGACCUGACGCAGCCACGCCGCGUGAGCGAUGAAGGACC
This 396-nucleotide ribosomal RNA is filed under the name uncultured bacterium. Its description in RNAcentral is "bacterial SSU rRNA". It matches the Rfam family "Bacterial small subunit ribosomal RNA", at positions 29 to 417 of the family's 1533-position model. The record is from RNAcentral.